Erinaceus europaeus (western European hedgehog) is the source of this 69-nucleotide non-coding RNA. The record is from Rfam. NCBI's taxonomy places the organism in Eukaryota, Metazoa, Chordata, Mammalia, Eulipotyphla, Erinaceidae.
GGUGCGGUGAUGAUCCCCAACAUGCCAUCUGAGCGCCCUUGCUGAGAACCAGAGGCUGUUUCUGAGUUG